RNAcentral lists this unclassified non-coding RNA (210 nucleotides) under uncultured Entrophospora. RNAcentral's name for it is "uncultured Claroideoglomus partial internal transcribed spacer 2". The record is from RNAcentral. Lineage: Eukaryota; Fungi; Glomeromycota; Glomeromycetes; Entrophosporales; Entrophosporaceae.
AAAUAACAAAUUAUCACAAUCGUUGGUUGUGGAAUUGGGCCCUUAUUUCGAACAGACUUAUGGCCUUAAAUUUACGCCAUGCGCUUAAUUCGAACCAAACGGAGCAAUUAAACAUUCUCGUUAGACGGAUUACUCGCAAGCAUUACGAUUUUUUGGACGACGAAAAGCACUCUCGCGAGCGCGAAGCCCAAGAUCGUAAAUUUAAUUGAC